GAUGAAGAACGCAGCGAAAUGCGAUAAGUAGUGUGAAUUGCAGAAUUCAGUGAAUCAUCGAAUCUUUGAACGCACAUUGCGCCCCUUGGUAUUCCAUGGGGCAUGCCUGUUCGAGCGUCAUUUGUACCUUCAAGCUCUGCUUGGUGUUGGGUGUUUGUCUCGCCUCUGCGUGUAGACUCGCCUUAAAACAAUUGGCAGCCGGCGUAUUGAUUUCGGAGCGCAGUACAUCUCGCGCUUUGCACUCAUAACGACGACGUCCAAAAGUACAUUGUUACACUCUUGACCUCGGAUCAGGUAGGGAUACCCGCUGAACUUAAGCAUAUCAAUAAGCGGAGGA
This 337-nucleotide unclassified non-coding RNA is filed under the name soil metagenome. RNAcentral describes it as "partial contains 5.8S ribosomal RNA, internal transcribed spacer 2, and large subunit ribosomal RNA". The stretch from base 1 to 120 matches the Rfam family "5.8S ribosomal RNA", at positions 35 to 154 of the family's 154-position model. The record is from RNAcentral.